Molecule: ribosomal RNA, 242 nt
Filed under: Chloromonas sp. CCCryo081-99
Lineage: Eukaryota; Viridiplantae; Chlorophyta; Chlorophyceae; Chlamydomonadales; Chlamydomonadaceae
Description: partial 26S ribosomal RNA
Rfam family: Eukaryotic large subunit ribosomal RNA
Source: RNAcentral
GACCUGAGCUCAGACAAGGUUACCCGCUGAACUUAAGCAUAUCAAUAAGCGGAGGAAAAGAAACCAACCAGGAUUCCCCUAGUAACGGCGAGCGAACCGGGAAAAGCCCAACUUGAAAAUCUCCCUUUGGAGAAUUGUAGUCUACAGAAGUGCCCUCUGUGGCGGGUGGAGUUCAAGUCCGCUGGAAGGCGGCGUCAGAGAGGGUGAGAACCCCGUCGACUCCAACCUAGCCGCACCACGAG